UCCAGACUCCUACGGGAGGCAGCAGUAGGGAAUCUUUCACAAUGGGCGAAAGCCUGAUGGAGCAACGCCGCGUGAAGGAAGAAGGCUUUCGGGUUGUAAACUUCUUUUCUCAGGGACGAAGAAAGUGACGGUACCUGAGGAAUAAGCCACGGCUAACUACGUGCCAGCAGCCGCGGUAAUACGUAGGUGGCAAGCGUUAUCCGGAUUUACUGGGUGUAAAGGGCGUGUAGGCGGGAAAGCAAGUCAGAUGUGAAAACCAUGGGCUCAACCUGUGGCCUGCAUUUGAAACUGUUUUUCUUGAGUACUGGAGAGGCAGACGGAAUUCCUAGUGUAGCGGUGAAAUGCGUAGAUAUACGGAGGAACACCAGUGGCGAAGGCGGAUUGCUGGACAGUAACUGACGCUGAGGCGCGAAAGCGUGGGGAGCAAACAGGAUUAGAUACCCCUGUAA
RNAcentral lists this ribosomal RNA (449 nucleotides) under uncultured bacterium. RNAcentral describes it as "bacterial SSU rRNA". It matches the Rfam family "Bacterial small subunit ribosomal RNA", at positions 330 to 793 of the family's 1533-position model. The record is from RNAcentral.